UGCCACAGCCGUAUCACCCUGCAGCCAAAGUCUGGUUACCCACUGAAGCUAAGCAGGGCUGAGCCUGGUCAGUACCUGGAUGGGAGACCGCAUAGGAAAAGUAGGUUGCUGUUGGAA
This 117-nucleotide ribosomal RNA is filed under the name Danio rerio (zebrafish). The record is from RNAcentral. Lineage: Eukaryota; Metazoa; Chordata; Actinopteri; Cypriniformes; Danionidae.